AGCAGUAGCCGCGGGAAUACGGAGGGGGCUAGCGUUGUUCGGAAUUACUGGGCGUAAAGCGCACGUAGGCGGUCAUUCAAGUCAGAGGUGAAAGCCCGGAGCUCAACUCCGGAAUUGCCUUUGAAACUAGAUGACUUGAACACGGGAGAGGUGAGUGGAAUUCCGAGUGUAGAGGUGAAAUUCGUAGAUAUUCGGAAGAACACCAGUGGCGAAGGCGGCUCACUGGACCGUUGUUGACGCUGAGGUGCGAAAGCGUGGGGAGCAAACAGGAUUAGAUACCCGUGUAGUCCCUGUCUCUUAUAC
RNAcentral lists this ribosomal RNA (303 nucleotides) under uncultured bacterium. RNAcentral's name for it is "partial 16S ribosomal RNA". It matches the Rfam family "Bacterial small subunit ribosomal RNA", at positions 507 to 807 of the family's 1533-position model. The record is from RNAcentral.